GGGCCCGCACAAGCGGUGGAGCAUGUGGUUUAAUUCGAAGCAACGCGAAGAACCUUACCAGGGCUUGACAUCCCCUGACCGCUAUGGAAACAUAGCUUCUCUUCGGAGCAGGGAGACAGGUGGUGCAUGGUUGUCGUCAGCUCGUGUCGUGAGAUGUUGGGUUAAGUCCCGCAACGAGCGCAACCCUUGUCAUUAGUUGCCAGCAUUAAGUUGGGCACUCUAAUGAGACUGCCGGUGACAAACCGGAGGAAGGUGGGG
This 258-nucleotide ribosomal RNA is filed under the name uncultured prokaryote. RNAcentral describes it as "partial 16S ribosomal RNA". It matches the Rfam family "Bacterial small subunit ribosomal RNA", at positions 917 to 1178 of the family's 1533-position model. The record is from RNAcentral.